RNAcentral lists this microRNA (22 nucleotides) under Picea abies (Norway spruce). Its description in RNAcentral is "pab-miR950a-3p". Its record names the gene pab-miR950a-3p. The record is from miRBase by way of RNAcentral. Lineage: Eukaryota; Viridiplantae; Streptophyta; Pinopsida; Pinales; Pinaceae.
UCUGGGCCCCGGUGGUUUAUGA